GACUCUCGGCAACGGAUAUCUCGGCUCUCGCAUCGAUGAAGAACGUAGCGAGAUGCGAUACUUGGUGUGAAUUGCAGAAUCCCGUGAACCAUCGAGUCUUUGAACGCAAGUUGCGCCCCAAGCCAUUAGGCCGAGGGCACGUCUGCCUGGGUGUCA
This 156-nucleotide ribosomal RNA is filed under the name Corchorus olitorius. RNAcentral's name for it is "5.8S ribosomal RNA". It matches the Rfam family "5.8S ribosomal RNA". Rfam says of the family: 5.8S ribosomal RNA (5.8S rRNA) is a component of the large subunit of the eukaryotic ribosome. Lineage: Eukaryota; Viridiplantae; Streptophyta; Magnoliopsida; Malvales; Malvaceae. The record is from Rfam by way of RNAcentral.